AGAGUUUGAUCAUGGCUCAGAAUGAACGUUGGCGGCGUGGAUUAGGCAUGCAAGUCGCACGAGACACCAAUUAGCUUGCUAAGAGGUAGACAGUGGCGAAAGGGAGAGUAACGCGUGGUUACUUGCCCUCGAGACCGGGAUAGUGUCGGGAAACUGGCAGUAAUACCGGAUAACAUCUUCGGAUCAAAUGGUGUGAUUCCGCUCGAGGAUAGGACCGCGUACUAUUAGCUUGUUGGUGAGGUAACGGCUCACCAAGGCUGCGAUGGUUACCGGGUGUGAGAGCAUGGCCCGGCUCACUGGGACUGAGACACUGCCCAGACACCUACGGGUGGCUGCAGUCGAGAAUCUUCGGCAAUGGACGAAAGUCUGACCGAGCGACGCCGCGUGCGGGAUGAAGGCCCUCGGGUUGUAAACCGCUGUCAGUAGUUAGGAAAUCCAUGAGGGUUAUCUCUCAUGGUUGACCGAUCUUCAGAGGAAGGACGGGCUAAGUUCGUGCCAGCAGCCGCGGUAAGACGAACCGUCCAAACGUUAUUCGGUAUCACUGGGCUUAAAGCGUGCGUAGGCGGCUUGGUAGGUGAGAUGUGAAAGCCCACGGCUCAACCGUGGAAUUGCGUUUCAAACCCCCAAGCUCGAGGAAGAUAGGGGUGAUGGGAACUUAUGGUGGAGCGGUGAAAUGCGUUGAUAUCAUAGGGAACACCGGUGGCGAAA
RNAcentral lists this ribosomal RNA (708 nucleotides) under uncultured marine microorganism. Its description in RNAcentral is "bacterial SSU rRNA". It matches the Rfam family "Bacterial small subunit ribosomal RNA", at positions 8 to 720 of the family's 1533-position model. The record is from RNAcentral.